RNAcentral lists this unclassified non-coding RNA (240 nucleotides) under soil metagenome. RNAcentral's name for it is "partial contains 5.8S ribosomal RNA, internal transcribed spacer 2, and large subunit ribosomal RNA". The record is from RNAcentral.
AAGACUAUAGACCUGCGGAGUACCUGCGGAGGGAUCAUUAUCAGGAAAGAGUGGCUUCGUGUCCCUUUUCCAUUCACCCUUGUGUUCACUUAUAAACAUGUCUUUUCUUUGGCAAGACGUCUUGAUUUGGGUAACCAAACCAAGCCAUUGACUUGAUAUCAAGUGAAUGUGUUUUGCUUGCCAAAGUUUUUUAACUCUAUAACUUUUGAAGUCUGAGUCUAAAACAAAUAAAUUAAAACU